GUCCCAUUCAGAGCGGCCGAGAGAUCUGGCUCGACGACGCCGCAGCAACCCGUCCUUCGCAGGGGUCAGGGUGCUAAGGCCAGAACCGAUGGAGA
This 95-nucleotide non-coding RNA is filed under the name Kocuria sp. RNAcentral describes it as "SAM-I sequence". It matches the Rfam family "SAM riboswitch aptamer (S box leader)". From Rfam's summary of the family: The SAM riboswitch is found upstream of a number of genes which code for proteins involved in methionine or cysteine biosynthesis in Gram-positive bacteria. The SAM riboswitch acts at the level of transcription termination control. Lineage: Bacteria; Bacillati; Actinomycetota; Actinomycetes; Micrococcales; Micrococcaceae. The record is from RNAcentral.